GAAAUUCGCCUUCAUGAAGCUGGAAUUGCUAGUAAUGGCAGGUCAGCAUACUGCCGUGAAUACGUUCCCGGGCCUUGUACACACCGCCCGUCACACCAUGAGAGUUGGAAAUACCCGAAGCCUGUGAGCUAACUUAAAGAGGCAGCAGUCGAAGGUAGAGCCAAUGAUUGGGGUGAAGUCGUAACAAGGUACC
RNAcentral lists this ribosomal RNA (193 nucleotides) under uncultured bacterium. RNAcentral describes it as "partial 16S ribosomal RNA". It matches the Rfam family "Bacterial small subunit ribosomal RNA", at positions 1307 to 1500 of the family's 1533-position model. The record is from RNAcentral.